RNAcentral lists this ribosomal RNA (30 nucleotides) under Helanthium tenellum. RNAcentral describes it as "partial 26S ribosomal RNA". The record is from RNAcentral. Lineage: Eukaryota; Viridiplantae; Streptophyta; Magnoliopsida; Alismatales; Alismataceae.
CCAAGUCAGGCGGGACUACCCGCUGAGUUA